RNAcentral lists this long non-coding RNA (4254 nucleotides) under Homo sapiens (human). Its description in RNAcentral is "long non-coding RNA NONHSAT089488.2". Lineage: Eukaryota; Metazoa; Chordata; Mammalia; Primates; Hominidae. The record is from RNAcentral.
CCAGCUUCCCAGACCCGUGGAGGGCUUUGCCCUCAGGAAUAGCAUGUCAUAAUUGGUCUGUGAGGUAUGAUAAGAAUGGCCCCAAGAAUUAGAAAAUAAAGUUGCCCUCUGAGAAAUAAUUGUUUAAUUGUUAUUAUAUUUUUUUUCCAAGACAGUCUUCAUCUGUCACCCAGACUGGAGUGCAGUGGCGCAAUCUUGCCUCACUACAACCUCUGCCUCCUGGGCUCAAGCGAUUUUCAUGCCUCAGCCUCCCAAGAUGCUAGGAUUACAAGUGUGUGCCACCACGCCCUGCUCCUCUGAGAAAUAAAUGAGUAAAAUGCACCCCCUGUGAGUGAGAUGAUGCAUCUGACUUGCAGGAAUAAACCAAGUGACAUCUGGAGAUCACUCAUGGAAGCUGGCCUGGAACAGGGUUGUGAUUUAGCGAGGGAAAGCCCAGUAACCUGUGGUGUUUCCUGUCUGGAAGAAGACAGUAAGACUGAGCCAGGAGUGUGAAGAACAGUGUGGCCUCUGAACCACCUGUCCCAGAGUUGGAAUGGUCACUCACUAAAAUGCAGGUCCUGGGCCCUGCUCCAUCUCUCCCAAGUCAGAACCACUGGCUGAGGGGCUGGGAAUCUGCACUUGACCAGCCCUCUCAGAUAAGUCAUCUGAACACGCAAGCUUGGUGGGCCUUGGCCCUCAGUGCAGGUGUGGGCGGCGCACGCCACCAGGACAAGGACACUGGGUCAGAGUAACCAGGUACUCUUCACAUGUUGAGGAUCACAUAUGGUUUUGUUUGAUCUGGUGCAGAAGCUAACAUUAGCUGAUUACCUAAUUGGGCGUAAUUCCUCCUUCGGGGAGUCUGAGGGAAGGGGCUCAAUGCUGGAAGUUUCCCGGUCCCGCGAAAGCAUGUCUUUGACAUCCCCAUCUUUGGAGGAUGGGACCAGCUGGGUCUUGGAGGUGGAAACGUAAUCCAAGUCCUUCCCAUUCACAGGGCUGCUGGCACCUUCCUUUCUUGCCAAGGAGCUGGAAGAAGGCACGGAAGCCCCAGGGUUCAGUCAUGGACAGUGAGUUAUCAGAUGCCAGGAUGAGUGACCUUUCUCAGCACUGACUACACUGGGAACCCCACCUCAUUCAGCUCCCAUCUUGUUCAUAUGCCUAGGUAAAAGCGCAAAUAGUGUGAUGCUAAGCCAGGCAGAUGUGGAGGAAGAAGAGGGCAUUUUUCUCCCUUUUAUCAGAACAAAGAGCCCUCGGUGGUCUUGGCAGGAGACGCUUGGGAAAAAUGGGUACAAUCUCCAGGGAUUGAAAGUGUAUGGACCUGUAGGAUGGGCCACAGGUUCUCAGGAACCACCACGGCUGCUGAGGUCUGAGUCAUACAGGCUUCCCCGGGAAGGACUGGCAGAGCCCCACACAGGGUGGUUCUGUCUGUGGAUCAAUGGUAAAGCAGGAUGGCUCUGCCCUGCUGUUCUUACUGGUCCACACCCUGUUCUCCACACCAGCUCCCAGAAAAGUAGCUGUCCUCCCUGCUGAAGUGACAGUGCUUGGUGCCUUUCUCCGAGAAGAGGCAGAUCUGAGGACCGAACUGGCAGGAGGAUGCCCAUGGCUCUUCCCAAAGGUCUGAGGAUAGAAAAUCUGUUUCUUCCUCUUUCCUCCUCCUUGCAACGAGUAUGGCUCAGGGAACUGAGCCUCAACCCAUUGAAUACUGCACUGAUUAUCCGGAAGCAGAACAGAGAGGGUUGGGGUGUGACUGCACUCAUGAAGAGGCAGGAGGAAGCCAGGGACACUGGCAUCCUCUGCUGCCUGACUCUUGUCCUGCGUGUAACAGUUUUCUACAAUCAGCUCUGGCCUGUGGCCUGUGCUCACACACUCUUGCUCACAACAACCUCAAUGACUUGGAUGCUAUUAUUAUUAUUCCCAUUUUGGAGAUGCAGAAACAGGCACAGAGCGGUUCUCAUGUCUCACAUGGGGUGACCCCUUGGGUGUGAGAAGUGCAGAGCAGGGAAGGGAGCCCAGGCGUCAGCUCCAGAGCCUGUGCUCUUACCCACCACUACACAGCACCCUGGGAGGGCUCACUAAGUGAACCUAAAUGCUCUUCCCACCUUGCACAUACAAACGAGUCUUGCCUGAAAGGUGAACUGGAGUUUUAGGUGACCUGAGUGCCAGUCGGCGGGAAGACCCUAGUGAAGUGAGGGGAGGGGGUACAACAUAAAGUACCAGAGGGCAUGGGCUCUGGAGAGCUGGUCCAGCUUCUUGCUGCCAUUCCACUACUCAUUGGUGGUAUGGCCUUGGUGAGUGACUUCCCCUCUCUAAGCCUCUGUUUCUUCAUCAGUGUAAUGAAGACAUUAACUCCCACCUCACCAGGUUGCUGUGAGGACGAGAGAUGAUUCUUGUGCGGUUCCAAACCAGCCCCAGCCCGGGCCCCACAGACUUGCUAGUAUUGGCAGCAGUGACGUCCAUUGUGCCAACCCAGUAGCUGAGACACCAGGGGGAAAGUGGGAACAGUGCACAUCCUCCCAUGCACCCACCGAGGAGGGCCAGCUGCUGAGGAGGCAGAGCGGCAAGGUCACUCACCUGAGUGGCUCUUUGAAUGUCUUCUUGGACUUGGCUUUCUUCCCAGGUUUGGUAGAGAAAGGGGCGACUCCGAGUCCAAAGUUUUGUCCUUCAGGCUCACCCACUAGGUGGCCAUCAACAUCCACAAGCCCCGCCUACAUAGAGAGGCCAGCCAAAGGUCUGUGAGUUAGAUUAAGGGCUUGGACCCCUUGGGGACCCACAUGUAUAUGGCCCAAGGCUCAGGGUGGACAUGUUCACCAUACACACCAAGGUUUGACAGCUGCUGAUGCCAGCCUCAGGCUGUCCCCUGUAGAGCGGUCCCUGACCACUCUGCCAAAUGUCCACUUUCCACAUGCACCCCCUCACCAGUAUGGCACCUCAUUCCAUACUCUGGGGAUCUUAAAGCUUAUUUCCAACCUAAUUCCAGGAAAUCGUCUUUAAUAUUAUUAUCCAUGUCUCUACCUUAUGGAAAUUAUUUUUAAUUCAAAAGUGGUUUACUCUUAACACAGGUCACCUGUGUUCAUUCUGGUGUUACCUUUAUCUGUUGCAAUCCUAGCUCUGGUUUAAUGCAUUAAUACUUGCUGGCUCUGCAAAGGUCUGAGGAUGGGAAAUCUGAGGUGAGUGCUGUCGGCAAGUAGCAACUAUGCUUACCUUCUGGAUAGCAGAAAUGGCUGCAAAGUCAUUCCUGUCAAUGAGGGUGUACUUCCUGCGCAAAGUGGACUCCACUUCCUGUUCCUGUUGGCUUGGGAGACAGCAAGAGAGAACAGCUUGUACCUGGGGCCAUGCUGAAUCCACUGGGGCAAGAACCAAGUACUGGGGUUAAAAGUCAUAUGGGUGAGGCCCCUUGUGUGGGGCCACACCUUCAUCAUGAACCAGACCAGACAAAAGGACAAAGGACUCACUUCCCCCUGCCCCAUUGCAUAUACCCACUGUCCGACCCCCAUACCCACAAGGGCUACCUUAUGUCAUGUGUGUCUGCUCCAAGAUGACACUUGAUAAGGACCGUAAGCUUCACUUGGGACCAUGUGGGGUUCUGUCUUAGGUUCUGUCUCUAAGAGGCCACUUGGAAUCACAUGACCAGCUUUAGUGACACCACCUAGCAUAAGCUGCUCAGACUAUGGGUAUGUUUGCACCCAAAUAAACCACAAAUGCCUCCUGAGGUGGGAGUGUGUGUUGCAAUAUUCACAAGGUGAAUAUUCACAAUGCCCUGCUCUGGGCACUCUCAGAGCUGGCACUCCAUAAACACCUCCUGUCCAAUUAAUGAACUCACUGAAUAUCCACCAGGGACCCAGGCAUGCCCCCAAGGACUCUGAUUUGGCUCUUCAUCCACAAGCAAGAAGAGGAGCUCUUGGAGGCAAGUGCCCAGAUGGCAGGAGAUGAAAAUGGCAGCCUGAUGUAGGAAUGAGGUAGGGGUGGGGGUCUCUCACCUCAGAACCACCCGGAACUGGUUGAACACCUCCUUGAUCUGUCUAAGGCUGAUUAUCUGGAGGGAAGACAGCAAGGCAGAGGUUAGACCAAGGGCACCUCGAGGGACCAGGGGGCAUCUAUGUUAGUAGAGAAAUCAAGACCCCUUGGCUGACCCCUGGACCAUCUGUCUCGAGAAGAGGACGUGUGCACACAGCCUCUCAGCGAAGUGGCAGCCAAGCCCUCCUCCAGAGCAGAGAAACACCUGAUUAAUAAUUUUAAAACUAAGUAUUUGCUGAGGCUAUAAAAACCACCUUUUCGAAG